CAAAGGCGCAAGUCGCCCGGGGAGGAGCCUGCGUACGAUUAGCUUGUUGGUGGGGUAAAGGCCUACCAAGGCGACGAUCGUUAGCUGGUCUGAGAGGAUGAUCAGCCACAUUGGGACUGAGACACGGCCCAAACUCCUACGGGAGGCAGCAGUGGGGAAUAUUGGACAAUGGGCGAAAGCCUGAUCCAGCAAUGCCGCGUGUGUGAAGAAGGUCUUCGGAUUGUAAAGCACUUUCGACGGGGACGAUGAUGACGGUACCCGUAGAAGAAGCCCCGGCUAACUUCGUGCCAGCAGCCGCGGUAAUACGAAGGGGGCUAGCGUUGCUCGGAAUGACUGGGCGUAAAGGGCGCGUAGGCGGAUGGCACAGUCAGAUGUGAAAUUCCCGGGCUUAACCUGGGGGCUGCAUUUGAUACGUGUUAUCUAGAGUGAGGAAGAGGGUCGUGGAAUUCCCAGUGUAGAGGUGAAAUUCGUAGAUAUUGGGAAGACACCGGUGGCGAAGC
Molecule: ribosomal RNA, 500 nt
Filed under: uncultured bacterium
Lineage: Bacteria
Description: bacterial SSU rRNA
Rfam family: Bacterial small subunit ribosomal RNA
Source: RNAcentral